UAUAAUGAUUUUUAUUUUUUUCUACGAUAGCUGGUUUAUGGUGUGCUGUCAAUUUUCUACUGUACAGCAAGGCGAUCCAGUUACACAUACAUGUAUACAUUCUUUUUUCUCACAUUAUCAGGCUCCAUCAUAAGUGACCAGACAUAGUUCCCAGUGCUAAUUUCUAUCCUGAUGAAUGGUGUCCCAGUCCUGUAAGCCAAUCACAGUAGAAGGUCAAGAGACAUUUGAUUCUGUUUUCUUUUAUGAUCACCUUGUCCGUUUCAGGUAUCUUAAUUCUAUACCAAACCCAUAACCCAGGCCCGGUUUCACCCCUUAUUGGCUUGGCACCUCUCCUGUGGACAGUGCUAUCAUCUUUGGGAGUCCCAUCUCUAUCUCCCACGCUGUCACCAGGGUCAUCUUCCUAGGACAGCCCUGGUUAUAUCCCUCUUCUGCUCUAAAAGCUUUCUGCAGAAUAAAGCUCAAGCCGCUUGGCUCAGGAAUCAAAGACAUACAUGACCUCCAACUACCUUUCCAGGCCCGCAUACCCCUCCAGAGCCCUGCGACUCUCCUGCAGUCCAGCCAGGUUUGAGAAUUCAUGGUCCCUGAACGAACACCGUUCACUUACCCGUUGUGGUACACUUAGCUCCAUCAUUCACUUUCUCCUCCAUGUCUACUAAUGAAAAUAUGGGCCCUUUUCCAAGACCAGGUCAAAGGAUCCAGCUUCCAGGAAGUCCUCUGUCAUUUCUCUAAUCUUUCCCACCUUUACACCCCCAUAGCCUUUUUCCUGGAAACUCAGAGUGACAUCCACACACUCUGCAGAGCCUUCGCAAUUUAGCCGCUCAUAUUUAUCUCCCACUUAAACUAAUGGCUGCCGCCGGACCUCUUUAUCUUUGUAUAAUUCACGAUUCUAGCAUAGGACGCUAUGCAAAAUGGGCACUUGAUAAAUAUAUUUAGCAUUGGAAAGGCAUUCAGCAUCCUGGAGUUUUCAUCUCUAAUUUGGUUUCUAGUACACAACAUUCAGUGCCCCCAUGGAUUGGCAUCUAACUCCUUCCUUCUCGCCACCCCGGAUUAUCUCUGAAUGUAUUUAAAUCUCAGCAAGCACUUAAUUACUAAAGGCCGAGUGGCCGGCCGAGUGGUCUUAUGAUCAGAAUUAAACUGAUGGGGAAAAAACUCUAGGAUUGGCCACCAGGCUUCACCUCAGUCCAUUCCUGAGUCUGAUCUACUAGUAAUAACCAGUAGCAUUCCUUUGAUGAAGGGAAACCUCACUUUCACUCUGCCGGGGCUUGAUCUGCCCAGUUGGGUGAGCAAAUGAUUCAGAAUUGUGUGCUCUGCUCUGUAACCAUAAAGAGACUUUAUCUCCCAGGAUCUCCACUUGGUAAAUAUCCUCAGCAGGAGGCAAAGAGGAUGAGAGGGCAUUUUGUGCCCACUGCUGGAGUCAACUCUGAUCCCAAAGAUUCACCAACCAUAGGAAAUCUUCUAUUUUUAAGAUCAUGUGCUCUUACAGAUUUUUAUAACCCCCCAGGUUUAAAAAAAAAUACUUCUCAUACAUAGGAAAUAUGCACACAUACUGUUAACCCACUCCAAUGAUUUCCUUUAAUGGUAUCUUCCAAUUAAGCUAAUCUACACGUCACAAGAGGACUUUUAAUGGCUCUCCCAAACUGGAGGGAAUUUUCCAUCUUAAAAAAAAAAAAAAAAAACUUAGCAGGAAAUCUUUCAAUAGAACUGCCCACAUUUCCUAGUUUAAUUAGCCUAAUGAAUAUAUUUAAGUACUCACUAAUUAUUAUCAUGCUUUCAGGAUGUAAUCUGUGCUUUAAAAGACACACACACACACACACACACACACACACACACACAUCUGCUCUUCUUUUAUUUUCAUUCAGUUUGUCUAUGAGAAUCUUUGAUCAAAUGUUGCCUCUCUCCUCCAGGGGAGAAUUAUUUUUUUUUCCUUCAGUGUAAUAAAGUUCUUGUUUCUCUUUUUCUGCUUGUCUGUUCUGCCCAGUAUCAAUGAAAGUGCUUUUCUUUUCUUUUAUUCAUUUUUUGGCUGCACCCACUGCAUGUGCAAAUUUCCAAGCCAGGAAUCGAACCCAAGCCACUGCAUGGCGACACUGGAUCCUUAACCCGCCGAGCCACGAGGAAAUUCCUGGCUUUCUUCUAAAGUGCUUUUCUUUAGUAGAAGUUAAAUCUUUAAUGCCAUCCAGUUUAUUCAUUGCAUCUCAGCAGAGCCACCAUUUUAAAGAGAUGGACUCAUUUCCCUUACAGAGAGAAAGGAUGAAGAGUAAGCAUAGGAGCACCAAGUUAAGAGGUUGCCCAAUAAUUUCUUCUUGGCUCAGUUGGCUCUAAGUUAAUUCUAAAUGUGAAAAGCAAGGUAUAGAAUUAAGUAGGUUGUAUAACUUUAACAAUCCUCUUGAUGAUAGUGUAGGCUAAAUUUAAAUCAAGGGGAUGAAUUAUAAUAUCAGCUAAGGAUGGAGAAAGGUCAGUAAUAGGUUAGAAGCCACCUUUCUUUCCCAUUCCGUGAGCUCUUAAGAUGCCAUUGAUAAUAUGAGAAUAACCAUAGGGACACCCAGCAGGAAGCCUAAAUGAGAGGCUUUCUUCGCCGGCCAAGUCAUAGAACACUGUACCCCCAUCUCAUUCCUUCCUGUAUCACAAUGCUCCUUUUUGUUUGUUUUAAUAUAGAGGAAAUCAAAUAUACCCAACAACAUAUAAGCACUUCCUGCUUUUUUGUUGCCACGUACCUAUGGAAGAUCCUGCUUCCAGUGGCAGAAUAGUGACCAACAACAACAGUAACCCUUUGCAAGACCCAAACUCAGGUAUCUGGCACAACACAGGAGGACCAGGAAGUCAUGAAUGCAGACUUCGGAAGGGAGGAAAAAGCGUCCUAAAGACGAUAUGCCAAAGUGUGACUCCCCGAAGGGCCCAUCUCCUGCUGCCUGCGUUUAUGGGUGCUCAGGAUCUGGUUUCCAGGUCCACAGUGUUAUUGUGCACCCAGUAACCAUAAGGAAUGGCAGCUACAGUCUGAGCAAAGAUUAAAGGACUGCAGAGAAUCAGGAACAUGAAUUACAGGAGAAGGGUCACCUGUGGUCACUAAACAUCGGGAUUAUAUUGAGCAGCCAAGAAUGAGCACCUGCCAUGUAUUAAGUGCUUUCUACAUGUCAUCCCUCACCAUCCAAAUAAUAGGGAGAGAUGACCAUCACUAUCUUAUAGACAAGAACUCAGAGAUGUUGUAUGAUUUGCUCAAAGGCAUAUGGAAAACAGGCAGAGACGUCAGGUUCAAUCUCGUUGAACUGGGGCUCCACUAGGAAGUGGUGAUAAAGCAAUGCAUUCCCUGUCGAGAGCAUUGUUCUGAGUUUAAACGUUUGUUUUCAGGAGCUCCCGUCGAGGCUCAGUGGUUAAUGAAUCUGACUAUCAUCCAUGAGGAUAGAGGUUCAAUCCCUGGCCUCCUCAGUGGGUUAAGCAUCUGGCAUUGCCAUGAGCUGGGGUGUAGGUCACAGACAUAGCUCGGAUCCUGCGUUGCUGUGGCUGUGGUAUAGGCUGGUGGCUACAGCUCCAAUUCAACACCUAGCCUGGGAACCUUCAUGUGCCACGGGUAAGGCCCUCAAAAGCAAAAAA
This 3585-nucleotide long non-coding RNA is filed under the name Sus scrofa (pig). Its description in RNAcentral is "lncRNA (ENSSSCG00030022749.1)". The record is from RNAcentral. Lineage: Eukaryota; Metazoa; Chordata; Mammalia; Artiodactyla; Suidae.